Non-coding RNA from Caretta caretta (loggerhead turtle), 1666 nucleotides. Lineage: Eukaryota; Metazoa; Chordata; Testudines; Cheloniidae. The record is from RefSeq and is a predicted model, not a curated record.
CCUGGGUGGGAGCUCGGCGCCCCUCCGGCCUUAUCCCCUCUCUGCCUCCCCGCCUUGGCUUGUGCUGCCGGUAGAUUGUCCGUCUGUCUGUCUGUCUGGCCUGGCCCGUGCACUCUCAUUGUCUGUGCCCGGUCUAUCUGGCCCUGUCCCUAAACCCUCCGUCUGUCUGUCCCCCCGUCUGUCCGUCCUGCCCCAAGACCCUCCGUCUGUCUGUCCCCCCGUCUGUCCGUCCUGCCCCGAGACCCUCCGUCUGUCCAUCCUGCCCCUAGACCCUCCAUCUGUCCGUCCCCCCGGUAUGUCUGUCCUGCCCUGAGACCCUCCGUCUGUCUGCCCCCCUGUCUGUCCGUCCUGCCCCAGACCCUCUGUCUGUCUGUCUGUCCCCCCGUCUGUCCGUCCUGCGCGGAGACCCUCCGUCUGUCUGUCCGUCCCCCCGUCUGUCCGUCCUGCCCCAGACCCUCCGUCUGUCCAUCCUGCCCCUAGACCCUCCAUCUGUCCGUCCCCCCGGUAUGUCUGUCCUGCCCUGAGACCCUCCGUCUGUCUGCCCCCCUGUCUGUCCGUCCUGCCCCUAGACCCUCCGUCUGUCUGUCCCCCCGUCUGUCUGUCUCUGUCCCCCCCUCUGUCUGGCCCUGCUGGUAGAUUAUCUGUACCCCCUGUCUGUCUGUCUCUGGCUUCCUGUCUGUAUGUCACUGGCCCGUAGAGUUUCAUUGCAUGUUCCUCCAUCUGUCUGUGCCUUUGAUUCUCGCCGUGCCUACUCCUGUCCUGUUGUCCCUCCCUUUGACUUUCCCUCUGUCUGUCCUACAGUCUGACUCUGAAAUAGAGGUUUUGCACAUUGCUGCAUCGUCCCCCAGAACGAUAAUGUUGUGGCAGGUCACAUCCCACCGCAGCGCAGUCUUGCUUCAAUAGUUGAGAUGCUUCCGUGCAUGUCACAAGACGAGAAAGUCUGGACAGUCCUGCAAACGAGACUCCUGAAGCAUUGGUGCCUGAAUUCACUUGGAUCUGCUGGAUAACAACAAUUGAUGCAUAAGACCUUCAAGAAGUACCACAACACCAGAGGACACAACAGUUUAUUGAAGGACAGUUUGUUGAGGGACAUAGUGUGACGGACAGACAGUUUCCUGCAACAUCCUGGGCAAACCUUAUGGAAUUAAGAUAAACUUUACUGAACUAAAUUAAACCUGAUUGAAUUAGGUUUAAUACUUUUCUGAUCCAUUGUAUUAAAAAUACAAUUGUGUAUGUGCUCGUGUGGAAUUGUAUGUAACUCCUCUAAGAGGAGGAGGAUGCUCAUGAAAUUUCUCUGGUUAUUAGCCCCUUUGAAGCCACCCUCUGGAGAGGUGUGCUUAUACUAGUUCAAACUGGAUUCUCCAGGGACCAACAAACAAAGAAAUGACUAAUGGAUUAGUAGCCUGGCUUUACACAGUCUGAAGGACUUCUUCCUGAUCAAGCAAAUGGACAGGAUGUCUGGUCCGCAGAGGGCCCCAAUCCUUAGGGAAAGGUUGGAAGAAAUGGGCCUAUUGAGGCCCCACAAGACUGUGUGCGCCUGUUCUGAGCUGAAGCUGUGAUGAACUUGAGCCCACAAGGAAACCCAUUGGGUGGGGUGUUGAAGAACGGCUCCUGCAAGAGCUCAUGUUGGGGUUGGGGUGAUCUCUGGUAAGCUUAUUAGCAUGCA